RNAcentral lists this ribosomal RNA (233 nucleotides) under uncultured bacterium. RNAcentral's name for it is "partial 16S ribosomal RNA". It matches the Rfam family "Bacterial small subunit ribosomal RNA", at positions 100 to 334 of the family's 1533-position model. The record is from RNAcentral.
CGGGACGGGUGGGUAAUGUCUGGGAAACUGCCUGAUGGAGGGGGAUAACUGCUGGAAACGGUAGCUAAUACCGCAUAACGUCGCAAGACCAAAGAGGGGGACCUUCGGGCCUCUUGCCAUCGGAUGUGCCCAGAUGGGAUUAGCUAGUAGGUGGGGUAACGGCUCACCUAGGCGACGAUCCCUAGCUGGUCUGAGAGGAUGGCCAGCCACACUGGAACUGAGACACGGUCCAG